GUGUCAGCAGCCGCGGUAAUACGUAGGUGGCAAGCGAUACUCGGAAUCACUAGGCGUAAAGCGCAGGUAGGCGGUUUGAUAAGUCUAUUGUGAAAGCUCCCGGCUUAACUGGGAGAGGCCAAUGGAAACUGUCAGGCUAGAGUGUGGUAGAGGAAGAUGGAAUUCCCGGUGUAGCGGUGAAAUGCGUAGAUAUCGGGAGGAAUACCUAUGGCGAAAGCAGUCUUCUGGACCAUCACUGACGCUGAUCUGCGAAAGCUAGGGGAGCAAACAGGAUUAGAUACCCCCGUAGUCC
RNAcentral lists this ribosomal RNA (292 nucleotides) under uncultured bacterium. RNAcentral's name for it is "partial 16S ribosomal RNA". It matches the Rfam family "Bacterial small subunit ribosomal RNA", at positions 505 to 796 of the family's 1533-position model. The record is from RNAcentral.